Molecule: unclassified non-coding RNA, 298 nt
Filed under: Hevea brasiliensis (rubber tree)
Lineage: Eukaryota; Viridiplantae; Streptophyta; Magnoliopsida; Malpighiales; Euphorbiaceae
Source: RNAcentral
CUAUGAGCAAGGUUUUCUUUCAAUUUCAGCAUUGAACCAGAAUGACAUGGUUUCGAGACAUUUACAUGGAUCAACAGUAUCGGCUCUUUGUGGUAUAAGUCUCUGCAACCCUUUGAACAUAUUGUACAUCACGCAAACCCCUCCACCAAGUUAUAGCUUUGACCAGUGAUGCAGCAAAAUCUUUGAAGCUAACCUGAUCCCUUUAGAAAAUUUGAGAUGGUCCAACUGCAAGAUCUGCAACUAAUCCCAUAUUGUCUGUCCUCUUCAUUCAGAAGGUUCUAUUUAAUCUUUAUGUCGG